This 253-nucleotide ribosomal RNA is filed under the name uncultured bacterium. RNAcentral's name for it is "partial 16S ribosomal RNA". It matches the Rfam family "Bacterial small subunit ribosomal RNA", at positions 524 to 776 of the family's 1533-position model. The record is from RNAcentral.
UACAGAGGGUGCAAGCGUUAAUCGGAAUUACUGGGCGUAAAGCGUGCGCAGGCGGCUUUGCAAGUCAGAUGUGAAAGCCCCGGGCUCAACCUGGGAAUUGCAUUUGAAACUGGGGAACUAGAGUGUGUGAGAGGGGGGUAGAAUUCCAAGUGUAGCGGUGAAAUGCGUAGAGAUUUGGAGGAAUACCAGUGGCGAAGGCGGCCCCCUGGCACAACACUGACGCUCAGGUGCGAAAGCGUGGGGAGCAAACAGG